This 374-nucleotide ribosomal RNA is filed under the name uncultured bacterium. RNAcentral's name for it is "bacterial SSU rRNA". It matches the Rfam family "Bacterial small subunit ribosomal RNA", at positions 30 to 405 of the family's 1533-position model. The record is from RNAcentral.
AUUGAACGCUGGCGGCAUGCCUUACACAUGCAAGUCGAACGGCAGCACGGGAGCAAUCCUGGUGGCGAGUGGCGAACGGGUGAGUAAUAUAUCGGAACGUGCCCAGUCGUGGGGAUAACGUAGCGAAAGCUACGCUAAUACCGCAUACGAUCUAUGGAUGAAAGCGGGGGAUCGCAAGACCUCGCGCGAUUGGAGCGGCCGAUAUCAGAUUAGGUAGUUGGUGAGGUAAAGGCUCACCAAGCCGACGAUCUGUAGCUGGUCUGAGAGGACGGACCAGCCACACUGGGACUGAGACACGGCCCAGACUCCUACGGAGGCAGCAGUGGGGAAUUUUGGACAAUGGGCGCAAGCCUGAUCCAGCAAUGCCGCGUGCA